This 253-nucleotide ribosomal RNA is filed under the name uncultured bacterium. RNAcentral describes it as "partial 16S ribosomal RNA". It matches the Rfam family "Bacterial small subunit ribosomal RNA", at positions 524 to 776 of the family's 1533-position model. The record is from RNAcentral.
UACGUAUGGAGCAAGCGUUAUCCGGAUUUACUGGGUGUAAAGGGAGCGUAGACGGUUUGCCAAGUCUGAUGUGAAAGGUGGGGGCUCAACCCCCAAACUGCAUUGGAAACUGGUAGACUAGAGUGUCGGAGAGGUAAGUGGAAUUCCUAGUGUAGCGGUGAAAUGCGUAGAUAUUAGGAGGAACACCAGUGGCGAAGGCGGCUUACUGGACGAUAACUGACGUUGAGGCUCGAAAGCGUGGGGAGCAAACAGG